Molecule: ribosomal RNA, 479 nt
Filed under: uncultured organism
Description: partial 16S ribosomal RNA
Rfam family: Bacterial small subunit ribosomal RNA
Source: RNAcentral
GUACACUCCUACGGGAGGCAGCAGUGGGGAAUAUUGCACAAUGGGCGCAAGCCUGAUGCAGCCAUGCCGCGUGUAUGAAGAAGGCCUUCGGGUUGUAAAGUACUUUCAGCGGGGAGGAAGGCGAUAAGGUUAAUAACCUUGUUGAUUGACGUUACCCGCAGAAGAAGCACCGGCUAACUCCGUGCCAGCAGCCGCGGUAAUACGGAGGGUGCAAGCGUUAAUCGGAAUUACUGGGCGUAAAGCGCACGCAGGCGGUCUGUCAAGUCGGAUGUGAAAUCCCCGGGCUCAACCUGGGAACUGCAUUCGAAACUGGCAGGCUAGAGUCUUGUAGAGGGGGGUAGAAUUCCAGGUGUAGCGGUGAAAUGCGUAGAGAUCUGGAGGAAUACCGGUGGCGAAGGCGGCCCCCUGGACAAAGACUGACGCUCAGGUGCGAAAGCGUGGGGAGCAAACAGGAUUAGAAACCCCGGUAGUCCCAUGAU